RNAcentral lists this transfer RNA (105 nucleotides) under Rhizobium sp. PP-CC-3G-465. Its description in RNAcentral is "tRNA-Arg". It matches the Rfam family "tRNA". Rfam says of the family: Transfer RNA (tRNA) molecules are approximately 80 nucleotides in length. Their secondary structure includes four short double-helical elements and three loops (D, anti-codon, and T loops). The record is from RNAcentral. Lineage: Bacteria; Pseudomonadati; Pseudomonadota; Alphaproteobacteria; Hyphomicrobiales; Rhizobiaceae.
CCCGGCGUAGCUCAAUGGAUAGAGCCUCUGUUUUCUAGUGCAGUCCGACGUCGCAAUCGGAGUUGUAACGGCAGAGAGAUGCAGGUUCAAGUCCUGCCACCGGUC